UACAGGGGGUGCAAACGUUGCUCGGAAUUAUUGGGCGUAAAGAGCUCGUAGGCGGUUUGUUGCGUCGGCUGUGAAAUCCCGAGGCUCAACCUCGGGUCUGCAGUCGAUACGAGCAAACUAGAGUGUUGCAGGGGAGACUGGAAUUCCUGGUGUAGCGGUGAAAUGCGCAGAUAUCAGGAGGAACACCAGUGGCGAAGGCGGCUCACUGGACCGGUACUGACGCUGAGGCGCGAAAGCGUGGGGAGCAAACAGG
Molecule: ribosomal RNA, 253 nt
Filed under: uncultured bacterium
Lineage: Bacteria
Description: partial 16S ribosomal RNA
Rfam family: Bacterial small subunit ribosomal RNA
Source: RNAcentral